RNAcentral lists this unclassified non-coding RNA (914 nucleotides) under Hevea brasiliensis (rubber tree). Lineage: Eukaryota; Viridiplantae; Streptophyta; Magnoliopsida; Malpighiales; Euphorbiaceae. The record is from RNAcentral.
CCCACUCUCACUGAAUUUUCCCUUACAAAAGCACUCCAUCCAGAAGUAAAAUUACCUUUGCCAAUCUGUGGAUAAAAAUUCAGCUUCACAAGCCAACAUCUAUUUUCAACCUGCAACUUUACUUUCUCUGUGCUUUGCUUGAUGUUGCUGAUAAACUUCUGUGGUACAUGCAUGUUGUGAUUCUCCAUAUGGCCAGGUGAAAUAACCGAUUUGAAAAAUGGAUGCACUGAGGUGAAACUUUUGGCAGCUUCAAUAGCUCCAGGAGAAUACCUUUCUUCAUCUUUGAGUUCAUGCUUGUUACCUUUGUUGCGUCGAAAAAUGGUAACUUUAAAUGUAGCUUUGGAUCCCGUAAUCAUAAUCAGUUCAAAGGCACAAACAUCACCAACUUCCAAGUGAUUGUCUAUUGCAAAGGCCCUCCAACCCUGAGUAAUUUUUGGCAAUGUUUUUCCAUUUUUUGCUUUAUUACAUAUAUAAAAUUUAACAGGCCAAGUUCUCCCAUCCAAACCAUUCAGCGUGGCUUCACCACUAUGCUUCAUGGGGAAAUACUUCACGGAAAAGCUUGCUGGUAUAGUCAUUUUUUCCCCUGGAUGAACAUAUGAUGGUUGCAUUGCAAUCAGGAAAAAGGGAUUCUCGGAUUUGAAGUUAGUGCUAGCUCUACGAAGAGCUUCAGUUUUUUCCUUAGCUCUCAAUCGUCUUUUCCUCCCAAUAAUCCUACCUGGUGUUUGUUUCUGAGCAGAAAUGCCUCCAAAGACUCUAUUUCCUUCAUCUUGCCUUUCAGGACAAUGCAAACUUCUGUUUCCUGUAGGAUUCUCAACCUUCGUCAUCUUUUGAGGAAGGGGGAAUGACAAUGGUGGUUUCUCUUCUCUUUUUCGCCAUGGCAAGUCAUCCAAGAUUUCAACAGAUGCAUCAUUUUC